RNAcentral lists this transfer RNA (77 nucleotides) under Serinibacter salmoneus. Its description in RNAcentral is "tRNA-Met". It matches the Rfam family "tRNA". Rfam says of the family: Transfer RNA (tRNA) molecules are approximately 80 nucleotides in length. Their secondary structure includes four short double-helical elements and three loops (D, anti-codon, and T loops). Further hydrogen bonds mediate the characteristic L-shaped molecular structure. tRNAs have two regions of fundamental functional importance: the anti-codon, which is responsible for specific mRNA codon recognition, and the 3' end, to which the tRNAs corresponding amino acid is attached (by aminoacyl-tRNA synthetases). tRNAs cope with the degeneracy of the genetic code in two manners: having more than one tRNA (with a specific anti-codon) for a particular amino acid; and 'wobble' base-pairing, i.e. permitting non-standard base-pairing at the 3rd anti-codon position. Lineage: Bacteria; Bacillati; Actinomycetota; Actinomycetes; Micrococcales; Beutenbergiaceae. The record is from RNAcentral.
GCCCCUGUAGCUCAGCUGGUCAGAGCAGCGGACUCAUAAUCCGUCGGUCCUGGGUUCAAGCCCCAGCAGGGGCACCU